Molecule: long non-coding RNA, 1933 nt
Filed under: Callithrix jacchus (white-tufted-ear marmoset)
Lineage: Eukaryota; Metazoa; Chordata; Mammalia; Primates; Cebidae
Description: lncRNA (ENSCJAG00000080055.1)
Source: RNAcentral
AUGGAGGUGCACCGGCUCCACCUCUCCAGGGUCGCUGCCAGACCUGAACGUGUGAGAAGACCGAGAAGGAGGCCCCGGCUCAACGGCCUCCAACCUCUUCCAGUCCUCCUCCCACCGUGGCUUGGGCCUUUUGUACCCGCCCCACGUGACCCCGCCGGCCGGCUCUUCCCUGCUGCCCCGCCCCGCCCAGCUCUUCCCGCUCUCGGCCUCCCCCCUCCCGCGCUGCCGGGUCUCCACCUCCCCUUGCCUCCCGCCCCAGGCUCUUCCCGCUCCCUCCCACAAGCAGCCGUUCCCUCGCGACGCUCCCCUCCCCACGCGGCUGUUCCGCCGCCUCGCCUCCCCUCCCCCCGUCCAGAACUCACUGUCUCCAAGAUGGCGGCCGUGUCAGUUUGGGACAUUUCAGCGGUCCGGCCUGGGGUCUCUCCUUUCUCCCGGCAGAGAGAAAAGAAGAAAGAUGAGAGAGAGAGCUUCCACGAGGACUGUGGAAGGGGACCAAAGUAUGGAAUCCUGGAGAGGAAAGCAGCUUCCACACUGCGUGGAAGGGAACCCCAGAGGGGGACAUUCCUGACAGAGAGAAAGCUUCCACAAGGAUGGUGGAAGGGGACCCAAAGAUGGAAUCGAAGGAGGUGAGGAAGAAGGGGAUUAACCUGGGAGGAAUUCCCACCUUCUCCAAGCCCCCUGGCCAACAACCCACAGGCCCUAACUACCCACCCUACCUUUUCUACACUCGCUGCUCCCACAGCCCCUGACUACCCAUCCUCCCAUUUCAGCACUUCCUGCUCCCACACCCGUGACCACCCACCCUUACCUUUAUGCACUCCUUGCUCCCACAGCCCCUAACUACUUACCCUCCCAUCCAUGCACUCCCCGCUCCCACAGCCCAUGACUACCCACCGUCACAUCCAUGCAUUCCAUGUGCCUCACAGCCCCGGACUACCACCCUCAGAGCAGCAUAAGAGCCCUCCAUCCAUGAGCUUUCUGUGCCUCACAGCCCCUGACUACCAAUCCUCCCAUCCAUGCACUGCCUGCUCCACGGCCCCUAUCUACCCACCCUCCCAUCCAUGCCCUCCCUGCUCCCAUAGCCCCUGACUACCCACCCUCACAUCCAUGCACUCCCUGCUCCCAUAGCCCCUGACUACCCACCCUCACAUCCGUGCACUCCCUGCUUUCACAGCCCCUGAGUACCUACCCUCCCAUUCAUGCACUUCCUGGUCCCACAGCCCCUGACUACCCACCCUCACAUCCUUGCACUCCCUGCUUCUGCAACUCCUGACUACCCAUUCUCCCAUCCAUGCACUCCAUGCGUCCACAGCUCCGGACUACCCACCCUCCCAUCCAUGCACUGUUCUCCCGCAGCCCCUGACUACCCACCCUCCCAUCCAUGCACUCCCUAUUCCCUCAGCCCUUGACUACCCACCCUCACAUCCAUGGGCUCCCUUAUACCACAACCCCUGACUACCCACCCUCAGAGCAGCAUCAGAGCUGCCCAUCCAUGGAAUCCCUGCUCUUACAGUCCAUGACUACCCACCCUCCCAUCCAUGUACAUUCUGCUUUCACAUCCCCUGACUCCCCACCUUCAGAGCAGUAUGAGAGCUGCCCAUCCAUGCACUCCCUGCUGCCACAGCUUCUGACUACCCGCCUUCCUAUCCAUGCAUUGCCUGUGCCUCUUAGCCCCUGACUACCACCCUCAGAGCAGCAUGAGAGCCCCUCAUCCAUGUGCUCCCUGUGCCCCACUGCUUCUGACUACCCAUUCUCCCAUCCAUUCACUUCCUGUUCCCACAGCUUCUGUCUACCCACUCACCUCCAUGCACUCCCUGCACCACAUCCCCUGACUACUUACCCUCCCAUCCGUGCACUACCUGCUCCCACAGCCCCUGAGUAGCCACGCUCACAUCCAUGCACUUUCUCCUCCCACAGCACCUGACUACCCACC